AAUGAAUACACCCCAGGUAUGACUAAUGACGUCAGCAAGGUAGUGCACACUCACAGCUCCUUUCCGGUGUAGGCAACUGCAGUGCGCUCGAGUUCCUGGUUGACAUUAAUAUUGAAGAUCAUUAUUUUCUAGCCCCUCCGUGUACUAUGUCCUCCAGAGGCAAAGGUGAGGAGUGUCUGGUGUGUGGGGGUGACCUGCACGGCAACCAACGGCGAUGGCUCUUUGGGCGUCAGAACAAGAAAGAUGGUCAGCCUCAGACCCCAUCAGACUCGCUGGGCAGGGGAAGUCUCUCCAGGUCUUCUCAAAGCAGCCCCUGGGGUAGCACCAUGUCUCUUGGCUCCACGGUCUCUCUCUCGUCCCUUUCCUCACCUUCUAAAGCAAUGGACCUUCUCUCUGUGCUGACACACAUACUAGGCCAGUCCGUACCACGGGGAAGUGGGCGGGGGGAGUUCUUGUGUGGCAAAUGUGUUUCAGUUCUAGAGCGGGUUUUCAAGUUUGACUCUGUCAUUUCCAGGGUGAGGGUCUUAUCCUCUGAGAGGCUUCAGAAGUUGACCCAGGAGAGGGACAAGGUCAGGCAGUGGGUACGCAGCGCUUACCGCCAGCGAUGCCCUCAGGAUUUCCGGAUGAGGAGCAGCACUAGUGAGGAGGAUGGGGAGGGAAUGGGAAACCGAGAGGGUUACAUUGAAAUGUUGAAGGAGAACAUGGUCCUGUCAGAGUAUGAGUGUUGGUCUGAGAAAUGGGACGCAUGUCCAUACUUCAGGAGAACGGGGAAACGAUGCACAAUGGGGAAAAAUUGUGAGGGAUGUGAUUCUCUGAGGGUGUCCGACUCCGCCUAUGAGUCGGUUUGUGGGGUUCCCCGCCGCCUACCCUUCCAACCCUUUUCCCCCUUGGCUCUAUCGCGGGAUAAGUCGCAGAGCAUGCCUCUUCAUUGGUCGAGAGUGCCGUCGCUAAGCUCUAGCCCAGCGUCAUUGACUGGAUCCACUCUCUCCUUACGAGCGUCCUCUCGCACUGAGUCCAUCCAAUCGCUGGACUCGCUGGGUUGCCGUGAUCCAUUUGAUUUUCCAGGUGAUUUGUCACUCCUGGUCCUCAGAGAGUUGAAAGGUAUUGAAGGAAAGCCUGUCAGUUCACCUUCGGGGAGUAAGAUUCCCGUUUUGGGUAAGAGGGAAGGGCGAUAUUUAGGAGAGGUAGGUGAGACAUCCUCCCCUGAGGUAACAAGGGUGCUGAAUUUUGGAGAGCGGGAGAAUGGAGGAGAGGAAGUGGACGGAGAGACAAAUGACGUUCUGACUGAAUUGAGGGACGAGUUUAUUCCACUACACAGAGAAAGCAAUACAGGUCGAGUGCACCUUGCAGUCAGACAGUUGAGAGGACAGCUUGAUCAAGCCAUGACACGCAUCAAGACCCUAGAAACUGAGCUUAAACACGGGACCAAAACCAAACCAGAAGCUAAUGUCAGUGGACCAGAGGAUUGGCUUAAGUUUCCGCAGAAGGACGGGGGAAACUUGCUACUGCAGAGUUUGGGGCAUUCGUUGCUCAGCAGAGACAGAGUUAUCCGGGAGUGCAUGUGUCUGAUCAGGAAGAUGUGCGUUGAGGUGGGGACAGGGACAGACGUGGCUGACAGACUAACACAGGCACUCACUGACAAUCUGAAACAAACUCUCUCCGACAAUAAGCUAGCCCUGGAGGCUCUGCUCUCUGAGGUGAGUGAGAGGGAGAAGAGGAUGGAGAGCGAGCUGGAGGCACUGAAGAAGGCUGGGAGAGACCGGGAGAAAGACCUCUCCACACUCAACGCUGUGCUCCAAUGUAACCAGGACAUCAUCAAUGAACUGAGAGUGGAGCUGGUUGAGAAGUCGCGAGUGCAGCGGGAGGUGCAGAAGGAGAGGGAAGUGUGGAGACAGCGGGACCAGGCCCUCACAGCAGUCCUACAGGAGAAAGAGUCACUUCUCCUCUGCCUGAAGGAGGCACUAAAGAGCUCUCAGAAAGACAUGCAGGCACUGUCGGACUCUGUGAUUAGCCAAGGGGUGUCAGGAGGCGGGGCUGAGGGGGCUCUGGCCUCUCAGCUGAAGGAGAAGGAGAGCCUAGUGAUAGCCUGGUUACAGGACAGAGAGGAGCACAGCGCCGCCAUGUGCCGGGAGUUCUCCAAGCUCACCACCGCCCUGCAGGACUAUCAGGGUAUAGUGCAGGAGCAGCAGCAGAAUCAUAGUCAGACGGUGUCUUCGCUGUCAAAGCAACUCAACGACACACUCAACGACCUGAGGGAGAGCGGGAAGGAGAACAAGGAGGCACAGCGAGCCUGGCGGAGCGAAAUGGAUGACAAAGAGAGGGAGGAGAGGAAAUUGAGGGAGAGCCUGGAGAAGAGAGACAAACUCAUUGAGCAAGUUCUCCUGGAUUCCGAAGAACGGGAUCAUCUACUCAAAGAACUUCAACAGAACCUGCUGAACAAACUUGAACCCAUGAUUGCUGUCAAACACACAUUAUGAAAGAGACAAACAAGAUAGUGAAAGAGCAAAAAACAUAGAACCAUGAAGGUACAAUGCACAUUUUAUAUAGAUGAGUUGCAUGAACCAACAUUUUCUCCACAGGUAGUUUACUACUAAUUACAAUUGCAUGUAGGCCCAUUGAAAAGGUUGUGUUUUGCACAUUUGCACUAGUUGCAUCUUGCCUUGGCAGGCAAGCCUUGGUUUUUCUGUUAAAAGAAUUUAUGGCCUUUACAAAACUCUUGACUGGAUAUUUGUCAAUAGUGAUGUUAUUACUCUGUUUUGGCAUCAUUCAUAUUUGUAUAUUCAUAUUGAUGAAGUAUGCUAGUAGUUAAUGUCUGACAUGGACCAAAGUAUGUUUUGAAAUAUUUUGCUUAAAUGGUAGUACUCUGUCAAUGAAAUGUAUCAAUACAGACAGUUCAAAUAAUUUCAUUUCCCGGGAGUUCUAUUUAUGCUUAUUCAAAAUACACUUUGGUCCAUGUCAGACAUUGAUUAACUAGUAGAAUGGGACAUGGGGAAAUGUAUGAUGAGAUUUGUUAAUGUGUCCUUCAGGGCAUAGUGUAGUGCAGCCUUCUUGAUACGUGCUAUCAGAAGGGGGAUUAUUAUUGUGUUGAAUCUGGACAAUUUGAUGUCGCAGUUUCCCAAGAGCUUUCCUUAUUGGUGUCAUACUACCCUGGGUCAGUGCAGUAGGCAGCUGUUGGACUGUGCCAGUGAGAAAGCGCGUGUUCUGGAGCUUCUACCUCUCUCACUCUCCCUCUCUCUGCAGGGAGACAGGGAACUCCCUCCCAAGGCCUCAAAACUACCAGAGCCUAUUGGCCCAUUCACUCCAGGUGUUAUGUUAAUAGCAUACUGUACUAAUGUAACACAGUUUACGGCACUGCAUUGAUGUCACCUUGUCCCAUAUAGUGCCUAUUGUGGUUACACUUUUUUGUCAGUGAUUCACCUAGUUUUUGUCUUAAACACUACAUGGUGACUAUGUAGUUACAUAAUAGCCAUUUAUUUAUUUGGGAUUUAUUUAAACCAGCAGCUGUAGGCUUACCAUUUGCUUGUUAGUCCCACAAAUUGCCCAUUUCUACUAUACACUCUUAGUGGAUACUAGGCAAAUAUCAGCUGAAACAGGUCUGUAAAAUAAAGAAUUACCCACAUCUUUCCCUUCUCUCAGAAUGUAAGUAGGUUCUGGAGUCUACCACUCUGGUUGUGAACCAAUCCCAGCUGCUACGAGAGAACAUCAGGCAGAUGAUUGGCAAUGCCAUCACAAGGCAAAAAGCUGCCCACGGUACUGUCAGUGAAGAAAAUAGCUGAGACAGUCACUCUGAAGCAAAAUCUCACAAUUAUGUCCGCAGCCUCCAGGCUGGCCAUUUUCCGCUAACAGAGGCAGCUGAACUGCAUUCAUCACAGCCAUGACAGAGCACUGGGCCCUGAGUACAGCGGGGAUAUGCUUUCCAGAAAAACUGAACAGGCCUAUAGUAAAUGUUUACCACAGACACCCUGGGACCCAGUUACCUGAGGCUGCUCAUCUCAUACAAUUCUGUGUAGAGACGCUGCCUGCUGUCCUCUAAAGAGGAGCUCGUCAGGCUACAGGGCACAUGUCUGGAGCGGGUGGACAACCUGCACAGCAAGAGGGCCGCAGAGCAGGUGGACUCUGCCGUGGUCAGGCUGCGGCGGCAGCUGGUCGACAGACGAGCAAUGCCCACUUUCCUCCAACAGGGGUUGUACUAAACUCAUUAUGUAGUGAAUGACUCAAUUCAUCUUUCUUCAUUGUUUCCUCUCUCCUUGGUUCCUUCUCAAAAAUGCAUUGGAGGAGAAGAUCAGAGGGAAGAAAGAUAAAAGGUUCCUCCCCUCUGGUCUUCUCCUCCAAUGCAUUUUGAGAAGUAGAUGAGGAGAGGAAUCAAGGAAAGAGAAGAGCCCCUAUCUAUAGUUGUAUACAAACGGUAUGUGUGUGUUUUAUCCUGGAUAUGAAGUGAAAGAGGGACCAAUGUGCUGAAAUCGACCAUUUAAACAAGAUGGUUAGGAAGGUAUGUUUAACCUAGUCAUGUGUGGCAUCCCAACUCUCAAUUUACCACAUUUCUGCAUUACACCAUUAACAUGUACUUGAAAUAAACAUAAACAGUAUUUCUCUGCAAACUCAGCCCCAUUGCUUAUUGUAUGGGAGUCCCAUAAAUGUGCAUGGGUUUCAUUCGCCUGUACUUGAUCUCCUUGUCAUACUGCCAUUUUGUACAGCUUGGCAUCUAUAAUGCGAAUUGAAUAUGUUCAGCAUAGACUGCAUCAGAAUCACAAACAGUGUACUGUUUAUGUUCAACUUCACCUCUGAAUAAAUGUAUACCGUUAUGAA
This is an RNA transcript of Oncorhynchus kisutch (coho salmon), 4806 nucleotides long. RefSeq lists it as uncharacterized. The record is from RefSeq and is a predicted model, not a curated record. NCBI's taxonomy places the organism in Eukaryota, Metazoa, Chordata, Actinopteri, Salmoniformes, Salmonidae. The transcript is spliced from 15 exons.